AUUGAACGCUGGCGGCAGGCCUAACACAUGCAAGUCGAACGAGUGGCGGACGGGUGAGUAAUGUCUGGGAAACUGCCCGAUGGAGGGGGAUAACUACUGGAAACGGUAGCUAAUACCGCCUACCAUCGGAUUUGCCCAGAUGGGAUUAGCUAGUAGGUGGGGUAACGGCUCACCUAGGCGACGAUCCCUAGCUGGUCUGAGAGGAUGACCAGCCACGCGGGAACUGCAACACGGUCCAGACCCCUACGGGGGGAGGCAGUAGGGAAUAGUGCACAAUGAGCGCAGGCCUGAGGCAGCCAUGCGGCGGAGAUGAAGAAGGCCUUCGGGUGGAAAAGUACUUUCAGCGAGGAGGCGUGACUCGCAGAAGAAGCACCGGCUAACUCCGUGCCAGCAGCCGCGGUAAUUC
This 406-nucleotide ribosomal RNA is filed under the name uncultured bacterium. RNAcentral describes it as "partial 16S ribosomal RNA". It matches the Rfam family "Bacterial small subunit ribosomal RNA", at positions 29 to 526 of the family's 1533-position model. The record is from RNAcentral.